UGGGGAAUUUUGCACAAUGGGGGAAACCCUGAUGCAGCGACGCCGCGUGAUUUAGAAGGCCUUCGGGUUGUAAAAAUCUUUUCUAUGGGAAGAAAAUGACAGUACCAUAGGAAUAAGGACCGGCUAAUUACGUGCCAGCAGCCGCGGUAAUACGUAAGGUCCGAGCGUUGUCCGGAAUCAUUGGGCGUAAAGGGUACGUAGGCGGGUAAGCAAGUUAGAAGUGAAAUCCUAUAGCUCAACUAUAGUAAGCUUUUAAAACUGCUCAUCUUGGGGUAUGGAAGGGAAAGUGGAAUUCCUAGUGUAGCGGUGAAAUGCGCAGAUAUUAGGAGGCAUACCGGUGGCGAAGGCGACUUUCUGGCCAUAACCUGACGCUGAGGUACGAAAGCGUGGGUAGCAAACAGG
RNAcentral lists this ribosomal RNA (402 nucleotides) under bacterium. Its description in RNAcentral is "partial 16S ribosomal RNA". It matches the Rfam family "Bacterial small subunit ribosomal RNA", at positions 355 to 776 of the family's 1533-position model. The record is from RNAcentral.